GCUUGCGAAACGGUCUGAAUCGGUUCGUGAUUCAGUACAAUUCGUUCGGAGCGCUCUCACACUGUAAAACAGUAUCGGGAUAUUUACGAAUACAGCGCUGGAUAACGUGUAAAUUUACCUACAGUCAACUGAAACAAAAGUCUGUCUUUUUGAGAGGUAUCUUUGAGAAACUUCAGCUAGUGCUGUGUCAUGUGAACAAGGGGCUGUUCAAACUGAACACGUUUUUGCGUCCGCUCGCGCUGUUUUUCCAAUCGUUUUACUUGUAAACAUUAGCUAGAUGGACGUCUUUUGACAACUGCGUCACGUUUCACUGUGUUAUGAGCAUUUCUCACAGGAGCGCUGCAUUUAUAAACGCUGUGUCACGUUAAAAAAAAUUCUUCAACUGAUAAAAACAUGUCUCGAGACACCUGCGUUCUGCUCUAUUAGUUGUGGCGCGUUUUGCUUUUUUACGGGGGAGCAACCCGACCCGGGCCCGACGGGAUCGAGAUUCCGAGAGGUUUCGGAUCAAGUUCAGAGCUGACUCUGAACUGACGGUGGCUCUGCAGACAGAGCGGACUUAAGCGGUGCGGAGUUAACCGGUGUCUUCACGUGCUUAAUUUUCCCCGUUGCCUACAAAUUCCUCACCCAAAUGAGAGCCGUGAAUCAGUGAACAUGGCCGGCGUUCCUUGGUAUGGUCACAAGGAGAAGGGGCUUAAAGAUGAUUCCCACACCCAGAGUAAUUCGACAAGAAGUGACCUCAGCAUUUCUAUGUCUUCCAGACAACAGCAUAAAUUUGACUUCUUUCAUGACCAGUGCAUACA
This is a long non-coding RNA of Myxocyprinus asiaticus (Chinese sucker), 800 nucleotides long. RefSeq lists it as uncharacterized. NCBI's taxonomy places the organism in Eukaryota, Metazoa, Chordata, Actinopteri, Cypriniformes, Catostomidae. The record is from RefSeq and is a predicted model, not a curated record. The transcript is spliced from 3 exons.